This 6309-nucleotide long non-coding RNA is filed under the name Sus scrofa (pig). RNAcentral's name for it is "lncRNA (ENSSSCG00030053562.1)". Lineage: Eukaryota; Metazoa; Chordata; Mammalia; Artiodactyla; Suidae. The record is from RNAcentral.
AGUUUGGAGUUAGUAGACUCAAACUGUUGUAUUUGGAGUGGGUAAGCAAUUAGAUCCUGCUGUAUAGCACAGGGAAAUAUAUCUAGUCACUUGUGAUGGAACAUGAUGGAGGAUAAUUGUGAGAGAAAGUAUACAUAUUACUGGGUCACUUUGCUGCAGAAAUUGGCACAACACUGUAAAUCAACUAUAAUAGAAAAAAUAAAAAUCAUUUAAAAAAUUGCUGUUGUCCUCUUCCAAAUUGGUAGUAUGUAUACUUAUUCCAGUGAUACUGCCAUAUCCAAAGCACUCCACUUUUCAGAUUGAUUUCAGGCAUGGUUGUACACAGACUCACACAUACACACACACACACACCCCAAACACAUCUAACUCAUUUUUUUUUUUUGUCUUUUUGUCUUUUUCCAGGGCCACACCCACGGCAUAUGGAGGUUCCCAGGCUAGGGAUCUAAUCAGAGCUGUAGUUGCCAGCCAACACCAGAGCCACAGCAACGGGGGACUGGAGCUGCGUCUGCGACCUACACCACAGCUCACGGCAACACCAGAUCCUUAACCCACUGAGCGAGGCCAGGGAUCGAACCUGCAACCUCAUGGUUCCUAGUCGGAUUCUUUAACCACUGAGCCAUGACAGGAAAUCCUCUAACUCAUUUCUUAUAGUGUUAUCUCCCAAGAACCAAUUCCAAUGUGUCUCUCAAAGUCUAACCCCUCUUCAAAAAAAUAACAAUUUACCACUAUUUCAAUUUUUUGUGAUGGUAAUUCCAAAAGAAAAACUCAGAGUAUUUUCAAGUUUGGAAACAGAUUUUGGAUUAUAAGUGCCCUAGUGUUCUACCUUAAAGAAUACUUAUUUAUAUUCAGAGGUUCAGGCAAGUUUGUGAACUUUUUAAAAAUCAGUUACAAUGCAUACUUGUUAAAUUUUGAUGAAGUCUACCAUUACCUUUGUGAUAGAGAAGGACAGGGAAGAGCUCUGGGAAUCUUUUAUACAAUGGGUAAAGAUCACAGCCAAUGGAUAAAAUGAGACCCACUAAGAUUUUUAAACACCAGCAAUGCUAAGCAUAAUUAGUUGGUAUACAUGGCUAGUUAGACAAUAAAAGGGAAAAGGAAUUUCUGCAAUCAAAGGAGCUUUGUAUAGCUAUUGCAUCACUCAGCUGAAGGGUGUAUGCUAUGAACUCCACAAAUCUGGUUAAUUGCAUUAUGUAUAGGGAGAAAUCAAGAUGGUGAGAUUUCAUCAUGUUCAUAACUUCAGUCACUAGAGUCAACUUAUACAACAAAGUUUUAGAUUAGGUUGGAGCACAUAAUUAGUUUAUGUUAAUUCAAUCAGAUGGCCAAUUCUAAAAAGUCAAGAAUUACUGCACCACCUGCUUUAUUUGGCCUCAAAGAUUUAGGAAGUAAAAUUCUCUCAAGACGCACCCCGUCUGCCCCUCCAGUGGCUGAUAUAGUUGAUCUCCAAGCAUCCAUACAGCAUACAUUUGCCAUGUUAAACUACCCUAAGCCCGAUGGAGAAUCCUAGAUUUGAAGCACUGCAGAUCCAUCUCACAAUUUCAGAAGAGGUUUCACUAAGCAAAUACUUGCUGAACAUGUCACUGUGAAUCAGGCUUUAAUUUUCUAUGGAAAAUUCCAAGAACACAUCUCAGGAUGUGUCCAAAAUUUCAAGCAUCCAUCCUAUCACUAUAGCUCAGUUUCAAGAGAAAUUAAUUUUACUGGGGAAAAAAACCUCUGCCCAUGUGUCAGGGCUCAUAAUUUUGCAAGUGAAAGAGGAUGAAGGGAAAGCCUGGGAAUGAAGGAUUCCUUCUUCCUCAGCCAUGAAGGAAAAGAGUCCUGGGCUUGACUGCUGUUGGACUGUCACAUUCCCACCCCAUGCCCACCACUGCAGCAAGGAAAGGCCCUAUGCUUUAGCCAGUCAGGACCCAUGCUUGAAGCUAAGCUCUGAGUGGUAACAAUCCCAUCGAAAGAUAAGAAUUAGGAAAGGACAGUUCUUAGGUAGAAGUUUUGAUGCAGAUGAAAAGGAGACCAAGAUGGAAAUAAGAAGGCAACAAAGUGGUGUUCCACUGAUCAAGAAAAUGUUUUUCUCUUGCAAUUUCUUCUUCCACAUGACUAUCUUCUAAACAAUGCUUAUGAUCCCUGGGUUUCUUGAAAGUACCUUUGCAUUCAUAAAACUGCUGGGUUAAUAACUAGGAGUCAUCAUCUGAGAUUUCUCCUUGUAAUUAGGAUGGAGGUGCAUGCUAUGUGAAUACACAGUCCUCCUCUCCAGAACUCUUUGAUACCAGCAGUCUAGGUCCCUUCAGCAAUAACCACUAGGCCAACAGCCAUGAACAUGUCUCCAAAUAAAGUUGAUAAACUCUUCUAAGCCUAUUACUAAAAUCUUAUCUUUUUUAGUUAACGGACUACAUUUCACCAGUUUUGAGGGUUUUGUUUGGUUUUUUUUUUUACUCAAUUUGCCAAUUUUCUUUUUUUAUUAAAGUAUAGUUGAUUUACAAUGUUGUGCCAAUUUCUGCUAUACAGCAAACUGACACAGUCAUACAUAUAUAUAAACACAUAUAACAUACGUUCUUUUUCUUAUAUUAUUUUCCAUUAUGUUCUGUCACAAGCUAUUGAUAUAGUUCCCUGUGCUAUACAGUAGGACUUUAUUGUCUACCCAUUCUAAAUGUAAUAGUUUGCAUCUACUAACCCCAAACUCCCAAACAUCCCACCCCUUCUCUCCUCCCACUUGGCAACCACAAACCUAUUCUUUAUAUCUCUGUUUCCAUUUUGUAGAAUAUUUAUGCCUUACUUUAGAGGUCAUAUACAAGCAAGACUAGGACUAAUACCCAUUACAUGGCUCUCAAAGAGAGCACUCCUGGAUUUCAGAAAGUUCUCAGGAUCUCAGACUACUCACAGAGCUUUAUGGAAAAAAAAUAUAUUUUCUAUAAGAAAAAUUCAGACUCCAUCUUAAAAAGAUAUGCCUAGGGAAAGAUAGAUUAUUGGUUCUACGAUCUGGAAAAUUUUGCUGAGGAAAUUUAUAGAUUCUUUUUUUUUUAUUUGAUGAAUUUAUCACAUCUGUAGUUGUAUAGUGAUCAUGACAAUCCAGUGCUGUGAAACUUAAGAAAAAGUUAACAUAAAACAAGACACAGAGACAUUUAUCUUAAUUAAAGAUGGGAACCAGGGGAUUCAAGGUCUCAAGGACAAAGAGCGCUGCCUCAAGAAACCACACUGCUUUUAUUGUGCUCUUUAGGAUUACGUCAAGUGAGGAGGGGGUUGUAGGUGCAGGAUAUAGUUUUUUUUUAUUAUUAUUUUAAAAGUCAUGUAGCUGGUAGAUGGUUAAGCUUUUAUUCUGACCUAUAGGCAUUUAUCAACCAUUAGCAUUUGAGGAAGCUUGGCGUUAGCUGUCUAUGCAUAGCAUCUAAAGAAUCAUCAUUGUGCUCUGCAAAGGCAUGCCUAUCUGUGGCAACCCCGCGUGCCUAGGUUUGCACCUUGUUCUCCUUGCUGAUGCAUAUUCUGCUAAGGACAGCUUAUAAACCACUUGGGGCCAUGAGGUUCCCCUUUCUCAUAUUUUAACAGGACAUGAUAUUGCUGUGCAAACCGCGUGCCGAUCUGCACAGAUCUGGCAUGCCUAGACUAAUGCAUUAUGUCCUCAUUCAGCUGACCACAUGAAUUACAUGCCUUUUGGUCUUUGUUCUUAAGUGUAAGUUAUUUACCAACACUGCAACUGUUUUUCAAGCAGGAAUAUAGGGUAAAGUAAAGCAGGACAAGAUGGAAUUUUCAGCAUAAAAAAUAGAAGCAAAGAGGCUAAGAAAAGAUUGGAGAAACACGUCUCCUGACAGAUUCUGAGCCCAAAAAAGAGGGCUCUGAAGAGUGGAUCAUUUACCAUUAUUAUUUUGAUGGACAGAAUAAGGUUAAGCAUCUCACCAUCCACAUUCUUAGGUUAAUAUAUUUAAAAAAAAAAACUGUUACUCUAAGGAAUAAAGAGGUAGUGAUAUCAUAGAUCUCAUUCAGUAAAACCAUCUAUCUAGUCUCAUCUACAAAAGAAAUUUGAAGAAAUAGAAAUUAUUUCUACCUGUCAGAAAACAUAUUUUCCCCCCAAGAAAGUUUUCCAAUAAGUUCUUGAAAUAUUAUCUUAGUUUACUCUUGUACAGCUUUUGCGGUCAGUAAGCUCAUAUUAUAGACUCAGAAGAUUAGAGGAAUGGGACACUGCAAUAUUGUCAUCAAUUUCAAGCUAGCUAUUCCACUAAAUAAACACUCUAAUAGGAGAAACUAAUCUAACUUUUGUUGAAUUGUAGGCCAAAAUCCCAUUUACAUGGUCAGGAUGUUUGUCUAGGUCAGUAUCUAAAUCCUCAAGAAUAAGAUUUGACUGUGUUUGGUUAAGUUUGAAUAUCAAAGGAUCCAAAUACCAUUAUGCAGCAAUAUAAAUACGCAGAGACAUCUCAGAACAUCAAAGCCAAGCAUUCAGAGAUGACGUAAAAGAAGGAAAGAAAAAGGAAUUUCAGGGCUUAAUAAUCUGCUGAUUUUCUCUGUGCAUACCGUUUUCUCCAUAAUUUGAAUGUUCAAAAUUUUCUCAUCCUGCAACUAGAUUUAUAACAUAUCAGAAAUUUAUUUAUAUAUGUAUACAUACGUAUAUAUGUAGGUAAAAGUAAGUCACCUUUCUCAUAAUUCUUUUGUUAGUUUUCCCUAGGCUAAAUUAAUGCUCCACUUCCCUCUUCUUUUCAAAGACCAGCAUGUGCACAGUGGAUAUUAGGAUGAACACUGGCAGAGCUGGCAGGAUUUCAGAAUUCGGAGUUCUAUUCCAGCUCUCUACUGGUCAGUCAGCUAUGGGACAGCCAGUAGGACAGCUAUAUUUUCUGCCCCUCAGUUUUCUCACUAAUCACCUGAAGGGACGGGAUUAGUGGCUCAGCACUUCUCAAUCCUUGACAUGUUCUUGGGUUACUAAGCCUAUCUCCACAGCGCUGAGGUGAACAUGCAAAUCCCUUGGAGGGUAGAAGUUUCUUCUCUCUGAAUACAAAAUGCAACCUUACCCCAGACCUUUCUCCAGGCAUGCUUCUGGCUAGAGAGGCAGCCAUUAGUCCACUUGCAUUCUGUCAUCAAAAGACCCUGAAAAAAAAUUUUUUUAUUAAAGUAUGGUUGAUUUACAGCAUUGUGUCAAUUUCUGCUGUACAGCAUAGUGACCCAGUCAUACAUAUAUACACAUUCUUUUUCUCACACUAUCUUCCAUCAUGUCCUACCCCAAGAGACUGGAUAUAGUUCCCUGUGCUUUACAGUAGGACCUCACUGCUUAAACAUUCUAAAUGUAAUAGUUUGCAUCUACAACCCCAAGCUCCCAGUCCAUCCCACUCUCUCCCCCUUGGCAACCACAAAGACCUUGAAAAUUAACACCACAUGUUGCUGUAGAUUAUAGGGAGGGAACACAACGUGUGAAAAUUCUAUUAAAACUUUAUUAAAAUCCACUCUAAAUAUCUCUCCUGUGUUUUGUGACUGUUUAACAUUUUUGUUACUUACACCUGAAAUAAACAAAAAUGGCAUGUCCUCUGAAAAAAUUAAAAAUUUUUAAAAAAAUCUCUCCCUUUUCUCACAUCAUGAAGUCCUUCUGUAUGAAGUCCUUCUCCAACUCUCUUUUAUUCUUGAUGAACACUGCAUUCUAAGGAAUAGAAAGGCCCCCAUUUCCUUGUAUCUGUACAAAGAUGUCUAUGUCUUAUAUUUGUCUCCUUGGAUACUGUAGGGGUGAUUAGGUCCUUUUGAAACACUUUUUCCCUGGAAAGCUCUGAAGUGAAAUGCUUAUUAUUGGAGGAGGCCAUUGAGAGGACAGGACUUACUAGAAACCUGGGACCCUGGCAAAGGGAGGCUCCUCACCCCUCCCCUGUCCUUGGAAUAUAUGCUCUGCCCACCAUUCCCACAGUGGGGGCUUUUCCAAAGAUGUAGCCUUGAGAAAGAGUGAAGUUGUUGAGACCAUCUGGACUGAAUAUGUGACUGAACCCAGUUAAAGCUUCUGUAUAAGCUUUUAAGAUUUCAGCAGUUGGUACGGAGAUUUUGUCUUGCAACCAUCCAAGGGAAGACUUGUAAGUUCCCUUGCUUAUUAAAACUAUCACCCACUAAUCUGAAAUAGUUUGCCUCUUUCUUCAUUCCUCCUUGCCCUUUGUGUACGGAGGCCAGGUUGGGAACCAAACACUUAAUAGAGUUUCUGUUCCCAAGAUUAGUUCAAUGUGACAAGGUGUUCUGUCUUAAUAAAAGGCAAUAUCCUGAAUCCUGGACAAAGGAGCAAAUUUUAUCUGUUGGGACACACCAAAGUUGUUAAUAUUUUAACUUUGAUUCUAUUUUCAUUUUAUUAGAUAUAAGUGGCCAACCUCAUCA